GAAGAAAGUGGGGGGCGUGCUUAACACAUGCAAGUCGUACGGUAAGGCCCUUUCGGGGGUACACGAGUGGCGAACGGGUGAGUAACACGUGAGUAACCUGCCCACAACUUUGGGAUAACGCUAGGAAACUGGUGCUAAUACUGGAUAUGUGCUCCUGCUGCAUGGUGGGGGUUGGAAAGCUCCGGCGGUUGUGGAUGGACUCGCGGCCUAUCAGCUUGUUGGUGGGGUAGUGGCCUACCAAGGCGGCGACGGGUAGCCGGCCUGAGAGGGUGACCGGCCACAUUGGGACUGAGAUACGGCCCAGACUCCUACGGGAGGCAGCAGUGGGGAAUAUUGCACAAUGGGCGCAAGCCUGAUGCAGCGACGCCGCGUGCGGGAUGACGGCCUUCGGGUUGUAAACCGCUUUCAGCAGGGACGAAGCUUUUUGUGACGGUACCUGCAGAAGAAGCACCGGCUAACUACGUG
This 465-nucleotide ribosomal RNA is filed under the name uncultured bacterium. Its description in RNAcentral is "partial 16S ribosomal RNA". It matches the Rfam family "Bacterial small subunit ribosomal RNA", at positions 28 to 507 of the family's 1533-position model. The record is from RNAcentral.